GGGGCUGUCGGGAUUGGUUGCCGCCUUCUCCGCCGUCGGAGCGCCGGGCUGAGGCGCCUCGGGUAAUUUUUCCGGGUAGAAAUGUCUGGAUCUCUGUCUUCCCGGUACAGACUCCUGCGGAGACUGCUCGUCACGUGUGCGUCACUUUACACCUUUUUGUGAAAAACCAAACGUCCCUUAAGAGGACGAUCUAGUCAUCCACGGCCGUUCCCGCGGGGAGCGCGGCGCCGUCAGUUUCUGAUUGGCUCGCGCAGCUCUGGCCGGACGCCGCCCCCUGGUGGUCCGCGGGGGUAACUACCGGCGCUGUGGCCGCGCGGAGUCCGCUCCUGGCCUGCUUGGCUCCCGGAAUGAAAGCCUCUGGACGGCCUGGGGCAAAAGGCUGCGUUAGCCCAAAUUGGCCCCUCUGAAAGAGGAGUAGUAGUUUACUUUGCCUGGAAUUAAAGUCUGUAAAUCAGCCACAUUCAGUUGUGUGAAGACCAGGCUUGGAUAAUCUCUACAUCACAGUGCUGCCCACCAUCUCCAUCGUUCUUUUAGGCACUGUCUUCUUAAGCCCCAAACUGAAGAAAUCUAUCAAUCUGCACUUUCAAGAAGCACUACUCAGGAGAUAUCAAAGAACUAUCCAAUGUGCUGGCCUCUCACUGCAAAACCACCACAGUAAUUUGGAGAAUUGUCUAUAUUCACUUGACGUAAGGAGAGUUCUGUUUCCAGUUUAAUUCACCUGAAGUGCUUCCUCAGAUUAUCACCAUGAUGAAACUGGACAAAUAGCCAAGAAGCAGUUACUCACAAAAAACAAAAUUGUGCAAUCCAAAUAUGUAAUACUCCUGACCUGGAAGGAUGACAAAUGUUCUUCACAUGAAACACAGCAAGUUAAAAUCUAAUGCCAGUUGGAUCAAUAUGUCUAAUAGCAAUAUUCUGACUGAAUCAGAGUAUGGUGUGAAAACUAUGAAGGAAAUUAAUUGCUGCUGUCUAAAAAUGCUGUAGGCAAGGAUCUACUGCCUUUCCUUUGCCCGGCAACUCUUCUUUGCUCCUGACCUUGCAUUAGGAGACAUUUAGUACUAUAAAAACAAAUGGAGAAAAGUGUGUUACAGCAAGAAAAUGGAAAACCACCCAUCAUGAGAUCCUCAUCUUCAUGGCAGUUUGCAUGCUUGUCAGUAUCAGCUCAGAUUUGAAGAGUUCAUGGAGGCUUGGUUAGCUCUCAAGAGAUGUAAACAUUGAUUAUGAUGAAGUUUGACCUCUAGAGAACUUUAAAAAUUGUUUAAUAUGCACAUUUUCCUUAAUGAAGCCCACUUUAAGCAAGCAAACAAUAACAAAAUAAGCACACCAAAUUUUGAGACUGCUGUGUAAUAGUGAGAUAUAUGAGGCUUAUCCAGGACUCAUGUUAAUUUAGUUUAACUAGAUGCUGAAAUGGAUUGUGAGUAAACUAGAAUUUAAAAGGAAAAUGACUAUAUAAUCAAUCUCAUCAAUAUAAUAAGGUUAUAUUUACUUUGCCUCCUCACAGAGAUCAUUGUCACCCAAUGCUUAUGGAAUAAAUCCUUACGUUCUUUAGAUCCUUAAUAACGAACCUCUCCUUGCACGUGGAAGGAAAAAAAAAUGAGGUCUUUUAGGUUCAUCUAUACUGUUCACCUAUUGUGGCCUAUCCUCAUAUUCUAUACUCCUAUUUUGAACAUGCUCUAUCCAUCUGUCCACAACCGGUUUGAAGAAUAAUGUCUUUUGUUUUAGAAGUGAGCUGGUUGACAAACUUAAUGCCUCAUUAUCAAUUGUUGGAGGAGGUUGUCCAGAGGAAUGUGCUGUCAAUUUGCCGGGAUGUGAGAGCAUUACUACUGCACCUACUCAACCUGGAGAGGAACCCCAUGUAUAAAAUCCAUGUGAAAAAGCAAUCUGAAGCAAUUCUAACCAUUUUAUGCCCCAGAGAAAUUAUACAGGACAGAAAUGCAGUGAAUUUAAAGAAUGGGGCCAAAUGUUUAGUAAUCCUUCAUCCUCUGGAUCCAUGUGCUGAGCACAUGCUGGUUGGGACUCUUCGGGCUUGCCUUCUGCAAAUAGUUGGGUAGAAAAACCUUAUUGCAGACAUGGAAAAACUGUGCAGAAAACCCUCUGAUUCUGAGAAUCUCCAAUAUGAAGAAAUACUUUUGAAGGUGAUUGAGAGGGCCAAUAACAAUUUAUGAAUUGCCAGCCAAAAUCAGAGGGUAAAUAGUUGAAAAUUAACAAGAAAAGAGGGAAAGCUGAUGAGGCAGUAACAUAAUGAAUAAAAAAUAAAGAAUAAAAAAGAAUUGAACGUGGAUAAUCCAGGCCCUUCUUUGUAUGUGAAAUUAAGGCCCAUGAAGGUAAAGGAAUUUAACUGAAGAGGCAAGAUCAGGAUUAGAACCCAGGUCACCUCAAGAAUCUACUGCUCAGUCAUGCACCUGCUGUUCUUAUGCAAGAACUUUCAACACCAUUCAUUCAUCUAGCAAAUAUUUUGGAACACCCAUUCUGUGCUUAGAUCUAUCUAAGUCACAGUUAUUAUGUUAUAUACAAUAAACACAUGUCAUCUAUUUCCUGUAAUUUCCUAUCUUUUUAUUGUGCCUGAUUAGAUAAUAGUUGUUUAAUUUAUCCUGCUCAGAAACCGUGUUAC
Molecule: long non-coding RNA, 2608 nt
Organism: Canis lupus familiaris (dog)
Lineage: Eukaryota; Metazoa; Chordata; Mammalia; Carnivora; Canidae
Exons: 10
Source: RefSeq, a predicted model, not a curated record